Molecule: ribosomal RNA, 774 nt
Filed under: uncultured Neocallimastigales
Lineage: Eukaryota; Fungi; Neocallimastigomycota; Neocallimastigomycetes; Neocallimastigales
Description: partial large subunit ribosomal RNA
Rfam family: Eukaryotic large subunit ribosomal RNA
Source: RNAcentral
GUACACGCUGUGACUAGCAUAUCAAUAAGCGGAGGAAAAGAAACUAACAAGGAUUCCCCUAGUAACGGCGAGUGAAGCGGGAAGAGCUCGAAUUUGAAAUCUUAAAGGGUUUCCCUUUACGAAUUGUAGUUUAAAGAAGUGUUUUCUGUUGAGGUUUUGGUAAAAGUUCUUUGGAAUAGGACAUCAUAGAGGGUGAGAAUCCCGUAUUUGACCUUUACUUUCAACUUUGUGAUACACUUUCAAAGAGUCGGAUUGUUUGGGAAUGCAGUCCAAAAUGGGUGGUAAAUUUCAUCUAAAGCUAAAUAUUGGCGAGAGACCGAUAGCGAACAAGUACCGUGAGGGAAAGAUGAAAGGAACUUUGAAAAGAGAGUUAAACAGUACGUGAAAUUGUCAAAAGGGAAGCGUUUGACACCAGUGUUGUUUUUCUGAAAAUCAAUUAAAGAACUGUUUAUGCUAAGCUGUUUAGACUUUAUCAGCUAUCUGUUUAGUUUUAGGCUUUUCUUUAAUGCACUUUUCAGUUAACAAGUCAACAUCAAUUUCUUUUACUGUAAAAAAGCUUGAGGAAGGUGGCUUGAGAUUCGUCUUAAGUGUUUAUAGCCUCUUGCCUAUGCAGUCGGAGAGAUUGAGGUCUGCAGCGUAGAUCCUUCGGGGCUAAAUGCAUUUGUGCUAAGUUAUAGCAUUUUAUAGACAACUUGUUGACUAUGAUUUGUCUUGUAGCUUACUCGCUUAUGUUAUUUUACCUACGCUUAGGAUGUUGAGUCGUAGAGCACGCAG